This is a long non-coding RNA of Austrofundulus limnaeus, 1515 nucleotides long. RefSeq lists it as uncharacterized. The record is from RefSeq and is a predicted model, not a curated record. Lineage: Eukaryota; Metazoa; Chordata; Actinopteri; Cyprinodontiformes; Rivulidae. The transcript is spliced from 3 exons.
GGCUGUAAUAAUUUUCAGUUCUUCUUCAUGUUUUCUUGUUGUGCUGGUGCUACCUGACAUUUAGUAAAUAAACAUCUACCUGUUCCAACACCUGGCAGUGAUGAUGAGGCCCACCGCCAAGUGUCAUCAGGAAGACGAGGAACUGUCCACACGGGUUUAGGUUCUGGACCAUGGACUUGUUCAAACAGAGACACUCUGGAAAGGUUAGCUAAAUUCACAUUUAUGCUAACGAGACAAGAAUGUGUUGCCAUGUUGUUAGGUGCUACAAGGACAUCCUCACAUCUGGCAGCAGACGUAAAUAUUAGAGCAAACUUGAUGAGAUUCACAGUAAGUUCUUCCACUGUGAACUAAUGCUGUGAAAAAUACAAGUUUAAACAAUUUGAUAAAUACUGAUCAGUUUUAAAAAGACUAAAAUCAUCUCAGGGAUCAGAUUGAAGUCCAACUCAGAGGAUGGAAAUAAAAAGAUUUCCCUCAUAAAUGUCUCAAGUUGUGUUAAAUCAAACUAAAUGUGACUUUGUAUCAUAGUCUGUCAAAAACCUGUCUCUUUAAGAACCUCCUACCAUUUCAGACACUCCCACAUCAGCAGUUUUCACAACAAUGCUGUAGGGGGGAGGAGCUAAGUACUGAUAGGUGGAGCUUUGUAACAGCAAGCAUUUAGGCAGGAGCACAGGUUUCAGUUCAACAUGAAUAAAUGAGUCGAAGCAACGAACCUGACCUGUUUCUGAUGACAGAGUGAUGGAAACAUUCUCUUCUAAAUGUUUGUUUCAAAUGUUCAAACAUUAAUUAUUAUUAAUUAUUAUCAAAGAUCAUUUUCAUAAAGACAAACUGUAGUUUUUAAAUCAUUUCAUUUAGUUGAACAAACAGCUGUGUGAAAGGAGCAGGCUGUCCUGUAAACAGCACAAAGAUGGCCGCCGCUCAAUGUCCGGUCCAGGGUCGGACCCCCCUCAGUCCCCCCUACACCCGCCCCUGGACCAUCAGAGCAGGGCCGGUGUCGAAUGUCAAGUCCAACAGGUGUUGGGUUGGUGUUGGGCAGAACCUCGACAGCACGUGUGACGAACCCAGAAUAACUUCUCGGGCCCAGUCCAGGAAGUGGCACCGACCUGGUUCUGAGUCCUGUCAGGGAAGUAGAGACUGGGUCAGAACCAACAGGAGAAGCUGCGAGAUAACAGGUUUGACCCGGUAAGAAGUGUGGAGAGAGAGGCUGAGUGACCCCCCUGGACCUCCUGGACCUCCUGGACCCCCCCGACCCCCGGACCGUCCCCAGCUCCGUUGGGCCMGAGGACUGGAGCAGGACAUGUUGAUAGCUGUCAGCACCGCCACAGGAAGCUCCGCCUCCACUGGCAGGAAGCACAGACGGAGGGCCAAGAAGCACCGGAGGGCUCGAGCUGAGGACCACCGAGCAGAAACAUCUUCCAUGAUGACAUCAAACAUCGUUAACUUGGAACAAGUAACUAAAGUAAGGAAGUAAAAGUAUCAUUUUUAGCUUUAAAAUGUAAAAAAUAAAAGUAGCUAUUU